GUGGGGAAUCUUCCGCAAUGGACGAAAGUCUGACGGAGCAACGCCGCGUGAGUGAAGAAGGUUUUCGGAUCGUAAAGCUCUUUCGUUAGGGACGAACGUGCUCUUUGUGAAUAAUGAGGAGUAAUGACGGUACCUAAAUAAGAAGCCACGGCUAACUACGUGCCAGCAGCCGCGGUAAUACGUAGGUGGCAAGCGUUGUCCGGAAUUAUUGGGCGUAAAGCGCGCGCAGGCGGGAUAUCAAGUCUGUCUUAAAAGUGCGAGGCUCAACCUCGUGAGGGGACAGAAACUGGUAUUCUUGAGUGUCGGAGAGGAAAGUGGAAUUCCAAGUGUAGCGGUGAAAUGCGUAGAGAUUUGGAAGAACACCAGUGGCGAAGGCGACUUUCUGGACGAUGUCUGACGCUGAGGCGCGAAAGCUAGGGGAGCGAACGUGAUUAGAUACCCGUGUAGUCC
This 450-nucleotide ribosomal RNA is filed under the name uncultured bacterium. RNAcentral's name for it is "partial 16S ribosomal RNA". It matches the Rfam family "Bacterial small subunit ribosomal RNA", at positions 354 to 796 of the family's 1533-position model. The record is from RNAcentral.